AACGCACGAGACCUGCGGACCUGCGGAGGGAUCAUUACUGAGUGAGGGCCCCUCGGGGUCCAACCUCCCACCCGUGUUUAACGAACCUUUGUUGCUUCGGCGGGCCCGCCUCACGGCCGCCGGGGGGCUCCUGCCCCCGGGCCCGCGCCCGCCGAAGCCCCCCCUUGAACGCUGCCUGAAGUUUGCAGUCUGAGAAACUAGCUAAAUUAGUUAAAACUUUCAACAACGGAUCUCUAGAUC
Molecule: unclassified non-coding RNA, 240 nt
Filed under: soil metagenome
Description: partial contains 5.8S ribosomal RNA, internal transcribed spacer 2, and large subunit ribosomal RNA
Source: RNAcentral